UACGUAGGUGGCAAGCGUUGUCCGGAAUUAUUGGGCGUAAAGCGCGCGCAGGCGGUCCUUUAAGUCUGAUGUGAAAGCCCACGGCUCAACCGUGGAGGGUCAUUGGAAACUGGGGGACUUGAGUGCAGAAGAGGAAAGCGGAAUUCCACGUGUAGCGGCGAAAUGCGUAGAUAUCAGGAAGAACACCAGCGGCGAAGGCGGCACUCUGGGCCGGUACUGACGCUGAGGAGCGAAAGCGUGGGUAGCAAACAGG
This 253-nucleotide ribosomal RNA is filed under the name uncultured bacterium. RNAcentral describes it as "partial 16S ribosomal RNA". It matches the Rfam family "Bacterial small subunit ribosomal RNA", at positions 524 to 776 of the family's 1533-position model. The record is from RNAcentral.